GACGAACGCUGGCGGCGUGCUUAACACAUGCAAGUCGAGCGGUAAGGCCCUUUCGGGGGUACACGAGCGGCGAACGGGUGAGUAACACGUGGGUGACCUGCCCUCAGCUCUGGGAUAAGCCCGGGAGACUGGGUCUAAUACCGGAUAUGACUUCAUGACGCAUGUUGUGGAGUGGAAAGCCUUGUGCGGCUGAGGAUGGGCCCGCGGCCUAUCAGCUUGNGGUGGGGUGAUGGCCUACCAAGGCGACGACGGGUAGCCGGCCUGAGAGGGCGACCGGCCACACU
RNAcentral lists this ribosomal RNA (284 nucleotides) under uncultured bacterium. RNAcentral describes it as "partial 16S ribosomal RNA". It matches the Rfam family "Bacterial small subunit ribosomal RNA", at positions 28 to 314 of the family's 1533-position model. The record is from RNAcentral.